Molecule: long non-coding RNA, 985 nt
Organism: Equus caballus (horse)
Lineage: Eukaryota; Metazoa; Chordata; Mammalia; Perissodactyla; Equidae
Source: Ensembl
AAUGUGCUGUGACGCAUAAACGCUGAGGCAGUGGUGGUGAGGUGGUCAGAACCAAGGAAGCGCUAAUUCGGGAAGGCUUCCUAGAAGAAAAGCAUUUGAAGGGGCCCAGAGAGCUUUGAGACUGGGACUUUUCAUCCUAUCUCGGACUCCAACUGAAGCAGUUCAGGCUCUGACCCUGAGCUAAGGCUCCAAAGAAGGGGAAGGAUUCACCCCAGGUCACCCACCAAGCCAAGGGCAGGGGCAGGAUGCAAAGCCAGGUGUCCCUUGAGUCUCCACUCGUCACCUCUCUCUGCCAGAGCUGAAGGCGACUUCUAUCCAUUUCACAGGCAAGGAAACCGGAGACAGGCCCAGAGGGGGCGCAAGACGGAUUACAGGAUGAGCUUUAAAUCAGGCCUGGCAGGACACUGCGUGUAAUGGAUUCCUGUUGGCGGGAGCAGCAUUCGUGGCCCCUGUGGGUCCAGGCAGCACCCAGAGCGAUGUCACUCUGGAUCAACGACAGGUGGCAGCAAAGGACCAUGGCCAUGAAGCUCCAGGACCUUCAUCAGCAACUCAAAGGACCUGGGCUCCAGUCCUUCACCAGUCCUGCACUGCCUUGUGGACUCUGCCGUUCCUGCUCCAUCCUGCAAACUUCCUCAAAGGAUUGUCUAUAAGGGCCCGGUCAUGGGGCCACCCCAUGGCUGAGUGGUUAAGUUGCGCGCUCUGCUUCGGCGGCCCAGGGUUUCGCUGGUUCAGAUCCUGGGCAAAGACGUGGCACCGCUCAUCAGGCCACACUGAGGCAGCGUCCCACAUGCCACAACUAGAAGGACCCACAACUAAGAUACACAACUAUGUAUUGGGGGGCCUUUGGGGAGGAGAAGGAAAAAUAAAAAUAAUAAUAAUAAUAAUAAAGGACCCGGUCUUCCCACAUUGGAUCAUAUGGGGCUCCCACCUGGAGCACUUGCUAGCUACCUGGCCUACCAACCUUUCAGUAUAAGCAGGGACCAGA